GUGCUCGAUUCGGCAGCACAUAUACUAAAA
This 30-nucleotide small nuclear RNA is filed under the name Cervus elaphus hippelaphus. The record is from RNAcentral. Lineage: Eukaryota; Metazoa; Chordata; Mammalia; Artiodactyla; Cervidae.